Molecule: non-coding RNA, 26 nt
Filed under: Rattus norvegicus (Norway rat)
Lineage: Eukaryota; Metazoa; Chordata; Mammalia; Rodentia; Muridae
Source: RNAcentral
UUGGAGUUUUCUUAUUCCUGGAGCAA